GGAUUAGGCAUGCAAGUCGAACGAGGGAGUGCCUCGAAAGGGGCGCAAACCGAGUGGCGUAAGGGUGAGUAAUGCAUUGAUAACCUGCCUUUGAGAUGGGAAUAACAACGUUCCAAGCAAUUGGGGCUACCGAAAGGGUUGCUAAUACCCAAUAAAACUAUUGCUGCUAUUGGUAGUAAUAGUCAAAUAAAUGGGGUCGAAAGAUUUCAUUUGCUCGAAGAGGGGUCAAUGUCCUAUCAGCUAGUUGGUAGAGUAAUAGCCUACCAAGGCAAAGACGGGUAGCCGGCCUGAGAGGGUGGUCGGCCACACUGGGACUGAGACACUGCCCAGACUCCUACGGGAGGCUGCAGUCGAGAAUCUUUCGCAAUGCCCGAAAGGGUGACGAAGCGACGCCGCGUGCGGGAAGAAGGCCUUCGGGUUGUAAACCGCUGUCGGGAGUUAAGAAAUGCAAGGAUGUUAAUAGCAUCUUUGUUUGACUAAGGCUCCGGAGGAAGCCACGGCUAACUCUGUGCCAGCAGCCGCGGUAAUACAGAGGCGGCAAGCGUUGUUCGGAAUUAUUGGGCGUAAAGAGCACGUAGGCGGCUGUGUAAGUCGGUUGUGAAAGCCUUCCGCUUAACGGAAGAACGGCAUCCGAUACUGCAUAGCUCGAGUGCGGGAGGGGAGAGUGGAACUUCUGGUGGAGCGGUGAAAUGCGUAGAUAUCAGAAGGAACACCGGCGGCGAAGGCGACUCUCUGGCCCGUAACUGACGCUGAGUGUGCGAAAGCUAGGGGAGCAAACGGGAUUAGAUACCCCGGUAGUCCUAGCCGUAAACGAUGGGCACUAGGUAGAGGGGUUUUGAUUAUCUCUCUGCCGGAGCUAACGCAUUAAGUGCCCCGCCUGGGGAGUACGGCCGCAAGGCUAAAACUCAAAAGAAUUGACGGGGGCUCGCACAAGCGGUGGAGCAUGUGGCUUAAUUCGAUGCAACGCGAAGAACCUUACCGGGGUUUGACAUGAUGGAAGUAGGAGCCCGAAAGGGCAACGAACGGUAUCCAGUCCGUAACUAUCACAGGUGUUGCAUGGCUGUCGUCAGCUCGUGUCGUGAGACGUUGGGUUAAGUCCCCUAACGAGCGAAACCCUUGUCUUUAGUUGCCAACAGGUCAUGCUGGGUACUCUAAAGAGACUGCCGUCGUCAAGACGGAGGAAGGUGGGGAUGACGUCAAGUCAUCAUGGCCCUUAUAUCCCGGGCUGCACACGUGCUACAAUGGUCGGUACAAAGGGAUGCUAAACCGCAAGGCGGAGCGAAACCCAGAAAGCCGAUCUCAGUUCAGAUUGGAGGCUGAAACCCGCCUCCAUGAAGUAGGAAUCGCUAGUAAUCGCGGAUCAGCUACGCCGCGGUGAAUAUGUUCCCGAGCCUUGUACACACCGCCCGUC
RNAcentral lists this ribosomal RNA (1411 nucleotides) under Candidatus Brocadia fulgida. RNAcentral's name for it is "bacterial SSU rRNA". It matches the Rfam family "Bacterial small subunit ribosomal RNA", at positions 46 to 1398 of the family's 1533-position model. The record is from RNAcentral. Lineage: Bacteria; Pseudomonadati; Planctomycetota; Candidatus Brocadiia; Candidatus Brocadiales; Candidatus Brocadiaceae.